UUCAUUUUAUUAAUUAUACUUUAUUCUUUUUAUUGUCUUGAAAUAGAAUUCUUGUUUUACGAAAAAGGUACAUGUAAUUAUGACUUAGUAGUUAUCAUUUUCAAGAAAUUUGAAACUUUAUUUAAUGUGCAAUAACAUUUAAUUUUCUUUAAAAAAGAGUGUAACACACAUUUAAAUAGUGCAACAUUCUCUUAUAAUAGUGCAAUAUUUACACAAAUUGUGUAAAUAUCUGUACAAAUAAUGUAAUAUAUGCACCGUUUAUGCAAAUAUUAUAUUAUUUUUAUACUAUAUUGUAAUAUAUUAUAUUAUUUUCACGUAAUAUACUAAUCUGUACGUAAUUCAGUGUAAAAGUCAUGCAAAAUGUAUAUUAACA
RNAcentral lists this long non-coding RNA (373 nucleotides) under Ananas comosus (pineapple). RNAcentral's name for it is "long non-coding RNA (ACOM_LNC025927)". Lineage: Eukaryota; Viridiplantae; Streptophyta; Magnoliopsida; Poales; Bromeliaceae. The record is from RNAcentral.